UUCUACACCUGGUUCACAUUAGCUUGAUUGACUCUCUGUCCUUUAAAGAGGGCUGGAGAUUCAGGUCUGGUGAUCUCUCUCAAUCAUCACAUCCAGAAAAGUUCAUCAUGAGGAUGUGUGCAGCCGUGGGUCUCUGGGUCCUAUCAGCAGUGAUCUGCGUGGGCAGAGGUCACGACAACGACCAGGCUGUCAAAGGCUCUAUAGUGGACGACAGCGUCUCCGUGGUGAACGACAGCGUCUCCGUGGUG
This is a long non-coding RNA of Perca flavescens (yellow perch), 248 nucleotides long. RefSeq lists it as uncharacterized. The transcript has 2 exons. The record is from RefSeq and is a predicted model, not a curated record. Lineage: Eukaryota; Metazoa; Chordata; Actinopteri; Perciformes; Percidae.